This is a non-coding RNA of Priapulus caudatus, 66 nucleotides long. Lineage: Eukaryota; Metazoa; Priapulida; Priapulimorpha; Priapulimorphida; Priapulidae. The record is from the annotation of a RefSeq genome assembly.
ACUAAGUUGGCAGAUAAGUGCAAUGAAUUUAGAAUUCACAUAUGUGGUUAAAUGCCACAUUUAGUA